UUCUCAAUACAACAGCUCUGAUCUCCUCCUUCUUCCCCCUUCUUCGUAUUCUCAACACUCUUCAACUCUCAACAAAGUGUAACGUGUUCUCCCUCAUUCUAAAAGGUUGCUAUUUAUUAACCUUCUUCUAACCUCGGGCCAGGCCGGGAUUGGGCCGAACAGAUAUGGGGAUGUUCCCUGGCCGCUCUAGCGGACCAGGGGUAUCAUCAGUAUAUACUCCCUCGACGGUCCUUGUUCGUUGAUGCUCUUGUUGGGUCAGUCCAAAGAGCCAAGGGUAUCAUCAGUACCCUCUUCCCACUUCUUGGAGCCUAUAAAUACAUUGAUGUCUCCUCUUUUUUCUUCAUAACCGAACUAAUCAUGCAUUCUUCUGCAGGUCCUCGAUGAGUUGAGGCGUGAGUUGGUGCACCGGUAGGCUGUCUGGUCGUAAUGUUUGAUCCUCUCUGAAUUCGAUCUUAGGGCUCUUAUCGCUAUUGAGAGUGACCGGUUGAAUGCUUUACAACUUAUAGUGUACCAUCGUUUGGCUUCCUUUCAUCAGGUUGACACAGAUUCGAUCGCGUUGGGGAUUGUCACUCAAGUUGUUGUGCCUUCCUCUCGGGUUGUGGCCCCUUCUCCUUGUGGCCGAGCUUCUGUCCCACAAGGUGAAUCUUCCGACUCUACUGCUCCUUCUGUUGUUUCCCUUUCGCUGCCCUCAUAACACCGUCGGGGUCGUCGACACCGACCACAUCGUGCGUUGUCUGAACGGUCAGUCAUUGACCUCCGCCACUACAUAUCGUGUGGGGCCACUUGAUAGCCUUCCCAGUCUUCUCAUAGGGAACCCCUCCGCGAGCUUCUCCGUUUGUAAUCUUACUUUUAUUUUCUUAGAGUCUUUGUUUUCGACUCACCCCCGCUGUAAUAGCUUAUUUUCUAAUGCAACUCCGUUAUUUGUUUUCGACUCCUAGAACCUAUCCCCUCGUGCUCUUUGCUUUUGCUCUUCCGGGGAUCAGAUCGAUCGGUUCUUCUAGAUCCUAUCUCUCGGGCCUACUUGAUUUUGCUGUGGGAUUUGGACGGCUCCUGGACCUAUCCCCUCGUGUUCUAUCUUUUCUCCCUAUGAUUUGGAGAGUCUGAGCAGUUGUCAUAACCUAUUUCCAUCGAGAAGGACUUAUUUCUUCCCUACAACAUGAAGAAUCCGAGUUGUUCCUGGAAUCUAUCUCUGGGUGAUCGAGCGGGACUUAUUUCUUAUUCGGGGAUCCAAGCGGUCUGUGGGCCUAUCCCCUGGUCGUAAAUUGGAUCGACCUGUUUUCCUUGUUUUUUUGGACGUUUCACGCUAUGUUUUAGUUAUCCAAAGUGGCUCCUUGUUUUAUUUCGAUAUUGAAAAAACAAGUAUGUACGAAGCCCCCUUUUAUAUAGCUUACUAGUUACUGUCGAUCGGUACUUGGAAAAGGUGUCUGUAUGCCAAGUCCUUUCCAUUAGUUGUCCGUACUCGAACAUCAGUUGAAAUACACAUGGGUCGGACCUCCUCUUUUAUGAUGUACGGGGAGGUCCCCUACGGUCAAAUCCUUUUUCGAUACCUUCGUGUUGUGGUACCGGCCGGGCGGUCCUCCGCUUGUACGGUUAGCAUGGUCGUAUCGUUCUCUUCCGGGAUGUAUCCUAAGAUCUGAUUCAGUAGUCGACCAUACGAGUUCGGAAGAGGACACUGCACUGAUUUUGAAUGCUAAUGUGAACUGCGCGUAUCUGGUUGGGAUCUAUAAUGUGGUGCGGUAGGUCCACAUUAUUUCCGGGAUUAAGUUGGCCCAUGUACCCGGGUUUUCUCUGACUUUUCGCUUUAGAAUUGUCGUUAUUUUACGAUUUGUUACCUCCACCUGGUCAUUGGACUGGGGAUGAUAUACGGAGGUUAAAGUUAGCUUUAUUCCACUCUCUUUGAAAAACAUUUUGAAUUUUUUGCCUGCGAACUGCGUCCUAUUAUCGGCUAUUAUUUGCAUCGGGACU
RNAcentral lists this long non-coding RNA (1965 nucleotides) under Zostera marina. RNAcentral's name for it is "long non-coding RNA (ZMAR_LNC000092)". The record is from RNAcentral. Lineage: Eukaryota; Viridiplantae; Streptophyta; Magnoliopsida; Alismatales; Zosteraceae.